Molecule: transfer RNA, 57 nt
Filed under: Armillifer agkistrodontis
Lineage: Eukaryota; Metazoa; Arthropoda; Ichthyostraca; Porocephalida; Armilliferidae
Description: tRNA-Phe
Source: RNAcentral
GUUUCUUUAGUUUAUAGAGAAUAAGGCAUUGAAAAUGCUUAGGAGCAGAAAGGAGCA